UGCUGGCAACAGCGAUAAGGGGACCUCGAGUGCCACGAUACAAUCGUGGCUGUCUAGUUGCCUAAAAAGCAAUUGAUAGCAAGGGCCGGGCAAGACCGGUGCCAGCCGCCGCGGUAACACCGGCGGCUCGAGUGGUAACCGCUAUUAUUUGGUCUAAAGGGUCUGUAGCCGGCUUAGUCAGUCUUUUGAGAAAUCUGGCCGCUCAACGGUCAGGCGUCCAGGGGAUACUGCUAAAGCUCGAGACCGGGAGAGGUGAGAGGUACUUCAGGGGUAGGGGUGAAAUCUUGUAAUCCUUGAAGGACCACCAGUGGCGAAGGCGUCUCACCAGAACGGAUCUGACGGCAAGGGACGAAAGCUAGGGGCACGAACCGGAUUAGAUACCCGGGUAGUCCUAGCCGGAAACGAUACUCGCUAGGUGUCGGCCACGGUGCGACCGUGGUCGGUGCCGUAGGGAAGCCGUGAAGCGAGCCACCUGGGAAGUACGGCCGCAAGGCUGAAACUUAAAGGAAUUGGCGGGGGAGCACUACAACGGGUGGAGCUUGCGGUUUAAUUGGAUUCAACGCCGGAAAUCUUACCGGGGCCGACAGCGAUAUGAAGGCCAGGCUAAGGACCUUGCCCGAUUAGCUGAGAGGUGGUGCAUGGCCGUCGUCAGUUCGUACUGUGAAGCAUCCUGUUAAGU
This 679-nucleotide ribosomal RNA is filed under the name uncultured Methanotrichaceae archaeon. RNAcentral's name for it is "bacterial SSU rRNA". It matches the Rfam family "Archaeal small subunit ribosomal RNA", at positions 356 to 1034 of the family's 1478-position model. Lineage: Archaea; Methanobacteriati; Methanobacteriota; Methanomicrobia; Methanotrichales; Methanotrichaceae. The record is from RNAcentral.